This 66-nucleotide transfer RNA is filed under the name Miniopterus fuliginosus (Japanese long-fingered bat). RNAcentral describes it as "tRNA-Cys". It matches the Rfam family "tRNA". From Rfam's summary of the family: Transfer RNA (tRNA) molecules are approximately 80 nucleotides in length. Their secondary structure includes four short double-helical elements and three loops (D, anti-codon, and T loops). Lineage: Eukaryota; Metazoa; Chordata; Mammalia; Chiroptera; Miniopteridae. The record is from RNAcentral.
GGCCCUGAGGUGUUAUUCACAUUGAAUUGCAAAUUCAAAGAAGCAGCUUCAAUCCUGCCGGGGCUU